This 1393-nucleotide long non-coding RNA is filed under the name Numida meleagris (helmeted guineafowl). RNAcentral describes it as "lncRNA (ENSNMEG00000005501.1)". The record is from RNAcentral. Lineage: Eukaryota; Metazoa; Chordata; Aves; Galliformes; Numididae.
UAUCUUGGGAGAGGAAGUGCAUCCUCAGAUGGGGCAGCUGUCAGCUGUAGCCAUGACCACUCUGAGAAUCACCCAUCUUCUGUCAAACUCACCAACCUGCUUGAAAAGAGUAAAGUUCUUCAGAUGUCUACCCUCAAAGUCAGCAAUUAUUGUGGCCUACUCCUUUCUAACAGCUUUCUGCACUGACUCAAAAACACAAGUAGCGUUGAAGGAAUAUUAAAGAAGGGAUGGAGAAUGGGAUGUAAAUGAGAGAAAGGAACUAAACCAUGGCUUCAAACUCUGUGCAACCUUCUGCAGCUCAUCUUGGAAGUGGUGGGAAACAUAAACAAUGUCAAAUUUGCAAGAUUUUUGCCAUUCUUGUGAUAAGCUGUUUCCCAAUGGAGAGCCCGAAGAAGUCAUUAAAAGAGAGAAAACAUGCUUCUCCCAUUGCAAAGAUGGCAAUAUGCAAACAGAAGACUGAGAGUCUGACCAUUCAUCAGACCAGCAGACAACUUCACCCAUUUUCAGGAAGAAAGAGUUAAGGAUAAAUAAAUCAGUGAGACAGUUGAAAAUUCUGAGAAUGGAGCUGCAAGUUGAACCACCUGACCAACUCUUUGUUCUGCACAUCAUGACAUCCAUUCUGCUAGACUAACAUUGAGACCAUGAGCCUACUCUGGUUAUGCCUCAACUCCAUGGAAGAAUGAACUGGAUUUACAUCAGCUCUCCCUCCAAACCCAGCUGAGGUGAGACAAGGCCCAGGACUAACAGCACAGUGCAGAAUUCAGCUAUAUAACCAGACUGCUGCUUUCACCCUCUGUUUCCUGUUCCAGCAGAACCCAGAUUUCUCCUAUAUUAAACUAUUUUCCAUCUCAAGCUAAUCUCACUGCCUUCCCAACACCUUCCUUUAAUCUUUAUCCCUACCACAUUCCUGGCUUUCAGUUCCAUUCCCAAUUCCUUCAUCAUAUUUCAAUAUUCCUUCAUCUAUGUCAAUUCCAGGCAUGGUUCCUAUCAACUCACCCCAAUUUCCCCAGUAUCAUUUUUUCAUAUCUAGUUUCAUCUUCCUAGCUUUGGGAAGAACCUAAUCGUUUAUCUGUAAGGUUCCCUGAUGUCUGCACAAGCAUGCUUGGUAAGCAUAAAUUCUCUGGAGAUCCUAGCAGCUACAACAAAAGAAACUGCUGAGAACUGUGAACUGAUUUUGUUGUUGGUAUUCUUUUUCCCCGAGAGCUCAUCAUCUGUGAAAAUAUGGCUCGAUUCUCCAGAGGUCAACAACCAUGGCACAGAUGCACAGACUUCUACUGGUUCAACCCUCCCAUGUAUCAAGCUCAAGGAGGCUAGUGUUACUUAAACAAAACAAUGAACAGAAGUUAAAUUUACAUAUAUUUUUCCCCUAACUCACACUCCAAAUGACUUGAAC